AACUAUUCAUUUAAAGAAAAACCUCCUCUGAUCCCUGAAUUCGUUCCAUCUCCAGUUGAGAAAGGACAAUUUCUUCUUCUUCUUUGCAAUA
Long non-coding RNA from Populus euphratica (Euphrates poplar), 91 nucleotides. RefSeq lists it as uncharacterized. Lineage: Eukaryota; Viridiplantae; Streptophyta; Magnoliopsida; Malpighiales; Salicaceae. The transcript has 3 exons. The record is from RefSeq and is a predicted model, not a curated record.